Molecule: unclassified non-coding RNA, 346 nt
Filed under: Hevea brasiliensis (rubber tree)
Lineage: Eukaryota; Viridiplantae; Streptophyta; Magnoliopsida; Malpighiales; Euphorbiaceae
Source: RNAcentral
GGAUAACUCAGGGGAUGGAGGGAGACUACUAGUGAGAUUCAAAUGGUACAAUCUGCAAUAUUCUUGAACACGGGGAAUUUUUAGACAAGCCAGGUAAUUUGACUUGGCCAAAAAAUACAUGAAUUAAGCAUCAAUACUUUCUCCUAAAUUAAAGCCUCUCCUCUACAUAUGGCAUCACUGGAAUCAGAAUUUUUCUCAAGUAGCAUCUGAAGUCUGUGCUCAAGUUAUUUUAUUUCCCUUGCACUCAUUCCUUUUCUCCAUGGGUUUGGACAUUUUCAUUUUAUAUCAUUCAAGAAUUGGACUGAUGCACUCGAGACAAGCCUAGAAAUCUCUACCAGCAAGUUAG